This 244-nucleotide ribosomal RNA is filed under the name uncultured bacterium. RNAcentral's name for it is "partial small subunit ribosomal RNA". It matches the Rfam family "Bacterial small subunit ribosomal RNA", at positions 26 to 285 of the family's 1533-position model. The record is from RNAcentral.
AGAAUCAACGCUGGCGGCGUGCCUAACACAUGCAAGUCGAACGAGAAAGUGGAGCAAUCCAUGAGUAAAGUGGCGCACGGGUGAGUAACACGUGACUAACCUACCCUUGAGUGGGGAAUAACCUAGGGAAACCUGGGCUAAUACCGCAUAACACCUACGGGUCAAAGGAGCAAUUCGCUUAAGGAGGGGGUCGCGGCAGAUUAGCUAGUUGGCGGGGUAAUGGCCCACAAGGCAGUGAUCUGUA